CAAAGGUGUAAUGAAUAACAGUCUUGUCAGAAAGAUCAGAGGACUUGGUAUUUUUCAGAUCACUCAAAAGGUAUGACUUUGACACUGCAUUGACUGGAUUUUUCAUUUUCUGUGACCUGUAUGUGUACAAGUUAUAGCAAUCUUUUCUCUUUCAGCUAUGUGACCUGUAUCUAAAAAAAGUCCCUGCUCACACUUUUUGAAAGUGGUGAGACUAUGGGGAAUGAGAUGAGUCUGAAGGCUAAGAAAGCCUAAGGGGCUUUGGGAUAGAUUGGUGGCACUACACAGGUUGAGUUGUUUCAGCCAUGAUGGGAUGGUUGUUGCCUCUUGUAUGCCAAGAUAAGGUUCUGAGGUAGUGAGGGAUGCAGCCUCUCACUAUUAUCAUUAGUUGACAGACUAUUGUUCUCUGUCAGGAAAAGAAUUAUCAUAGGCUGAAAAUUUAUUUGGCCAAGGCCAAGAAUCAAUCACUUUUGCAGACA
This 476-nucleotide long non-coding RNA is filed under the name Anas platyrhynchos platyrhynchos (common mallard). RNAcentral's name for it is "lncRNA (ENSAPLG00000017640.1)". Lineage: Eukaryota; Metazoa; Chordata; Aves; Anseriformes; Anatidae. The record is from RNAcentral.